GAUGAACGCUGGCGGCGUGCCUAAUACAUGCAAGUCGAGCGAACAGAUGAGGAGCUUGCUCCUCUGACGUUAGCGGCGGACGGGUGAGUAACACGUGGAUAACCUACCUAUAAGACUGGGAUAACUUCGGGAAACCGGAUCUAAUACCGGAUAAUAUAUUGAACCGCAUGGUUCAAUAGUGAAAGACGGUUUUGCUGUCACUUAUAGAUGGUUCCGCGCCGCAUUAGCUAGUUGGUAAGGUAACGGCUUACCAAGGCAACGAUGCGUAGCCGACCUGAGAGGGUGAUCGGCCACACUGGAACUGAGACACGGUCCAGACUCCUACGGGAGGCAGCAGUAGGGAAUCUUCCGCAAUGGGCGAAAGCCUGACGGAGCAACGCCGCGUGAGUGAUGAAGGUCUUCGGAUCGUAAAACUCUGUUAUUAGGGAAGAACAAAUGUGUAAGUAACUAUGCACGUCUUGACGGUACCUAAUCAGAAAGCCACGGCUAACUACGUG
This 497-nucleotide ribosomal RNA is filed under the name uncultured bacterium. RNAcentral's name for it is "partial 16S ribosomal RNA". It matches the Rfam family "Bacterial small subunit ribosomal RNA", at positions 28 to 507 of the family's 1533-position model. The record is from RNAcentral.